This 496-nucleotide ribosomal RNA is filed under the name uncultured bacterium. Its description in RNAcentral is "partial 16S ribosomal RNA". It matches the Rfam family "Bacterial small subunit ribosomal RNA", at positions 29 to 507 of the family's 1533-position model. The record is from RNAcentral.
AUGAACGCUGGCGGCGUGCCUAAUACAUGCAAGUUGAGCGAACGGACGAGAAGCUUGCUUCUCUGAUGUUAGCGGCGGACGGGUGAGUAACACGUGGAUAACCUACCUAUAAGACUGGGAUAACUUCGGGAAACCGUAGCUAAUACCGGAUAAUAUUUUGAACCGCAUGGUUCAAAAGUGAAAGACGGUCUUGCUGUCACUUAUAGAUGGAUCCGCGCUGCAUUAGCUAGUUGGUAAGGUAACGGCUUACCAAGGCAACGAUGCAUAGCCGACCUGAGAGGGUGAUCGGCCACACUGGAACUGAGACACGGUCCAGACUCCUACGGGAGGCAGCAGUAGGGAAUCUUCCGCAAUGGGCGAAAGCCUGACGGAGCAACGCCGCGUGAGUGAUGAAGGUCUUCGGAUCGUAAAACUCUGUUAUUAGGGAAGAACAUAUGUGUAAGUAACUGUGCACAUCUUGACGGUACCUAAUCAGAAAGCCACGGCUAACUACGUG